AACUACUGUAGUGAGAGAGCCACGUGAUUUUCGCGAAAUUCAAGCCUACUACUUUUACCAUUCCCAGCACUGAUCACAAUAGCCAAAGGAAAAUUCGGUGGUUAAGCGCAUGGUGAUCCAGUCUAACAACGUCACAAAUUUGUGAGUGCUUGGGAUCAUUGCCAGAAAAAUUAAACCUAAAUAUCGAUUGUAGGCGCAGAAUUCUACAAGACUUUCACGUGCAUAACCUCUAGAGCCGUGGAACCGCAUAACCGAACCAGAACGGAUUUAAUACAUUUGCUGGGCAACCGAUCUCCCUUGCGGAACAAUGACACAGAGCUGGAACUAGUGGUCGCGAUUUGAAAACACGCACACAAGCAAGAAACCCCAAACUGGGGUUUUGUUGCAGUUUCGGUUUGUCACGCGACACGACGAAGUGCAACUAAGCGACGCGACACAGUGCAGCAAAUAGGUGCAAGCCAGAGUCUAUGAAUGGAGAGUUUGGCGAAGAGACUUCUUUGAAUGGUUGUUCUUCUUCGUCUUCGAAAAUAGCCCCUAUCUGUUUUGCUGGUCUGCUCGAUAGGUAGACGGUUUGACAGUUCGAUAGGUAGAUUUUGUUUCACUCUUCGCGCAACUCUCCAUUCAUAAACUCUGGUGCAAGCAAGGAGACUGGUGAGGCACCGAGUGGCGAUAGGGAACAUUAUUUGAUCGGUGGCUUAGACCGAUUCGAGAACAGGGACACUUCGAGCGGUUAGAGAGGCGAGAAGGCUCGACAGAAGAGUGAACCCCAGGUUGGGCAAGGAACAGAUUAGACCAGUUGCAUUCGCGAAAGCACGAUGGGUCGCGAUAGGAAUCUAUUCGGGACUGUCAUAGAGUGAACCCCGGAUUCCGAGUGCAUGAUACAAUCGACGGUCGGACAACGCUUUAGGAUCGACUAGCAGCUACAAGUCGUUGGCUUCCAUGGUGCUGCGGAGGAUUGCAGGGGGUAAAACAGCGACGCUAUGCGAAUGAGGGU
Molecule: long non-coding RNA, 994 nt
Organism: Aedes aegypti (yellow fever mosquito)
Lineage: Eukaryota; Metazoa; Arthropoda; Insecta; Diptera; Culicidae
Exons: 2
Source: RefSeq, a predicted model, not a curated record